This 4213-nucleotide long non-coding RNA is filed under the name Sorghum bicolor (sorghum). RNAcentral describes it as "long non-coding RNA (SBIC_LNC008956)". Lineage: Eukaryota; Viridiplantae; Streptophyta; Magnoliopsida; Poales; Poaceae. The record is from RNAcentral.
CAACUCUAGAUUAACCAACCCAAUCGAUUCAACAUGUUUAGUCCUUCCACCUUUGUGAUUCCACACUCCUAAUCAUAUUAGCUAAAAUGUUGCACACUCAAUCUUUGGAAGAUAUAAACAAAACAUAUAUAUAGAUAGAUUAUCUUUCCAUAAGGUUGAGCAAUCUAAUUUGACAAAUGUUAAAUACUACACUCAUGAUUUUAUUAUCCAUCAACUUUGUCUUGCUCACUAUGUUUAAGGUUAGAGAAGAACAAAUACACUUUUGGUUCUGUUGGUGUUUUCCACCAACAGGGCCCAUGCACUUGAUCUAUGCCUUGUCUUUAUGAGCAGGUACACUUCGAGCAAAAUAUGAAGGACUUUUACAACUCCCAGACCCCACCUAGUGAAGAACCUAGAUCUACAAGCACAAACACACUGGAGAUACUGGACACUCAGGGAAUCACUGCCCUAGGAUGCUUGAGGAUGUAACUACUGGAGUAACCCCGUUGUGGAAGUAAUUACUGACCUUCUGCCGGUCAAGAGAGACAAUCCAGGACGCCCCGUCAUCUCGAUCUCCAUUGGCAUGGUGGACUUCCUAGAAGCACUCUGCGACUUUGGCUCCAGCGUCAACAUUAUGCUCAGGGUACUCUAUGAAAAAUUCUUUACACAUCCUUUAUUAGAGACAGCCAUGUGUUUGUAGCUUGCAGAUCAUACGCUAAGUUUCCCAAAGGGAAUAUUGAAGAACCUCUACGUCCGAGUUGGUACCUUGUACGCCCCAGCAGACUUCAUGGUGAUAGAGACUGGUACUGAUAAGAGGGCACCCAUCAUCCUAGGGAGGCCAUUCUUGAACACCUCGGGAGCUGUCAUCUACGCUAGUGCUGCCAAGAUCAGUUUCUACAUCAAGGGGAAGCAGGAGACAUUUUCCUUCACGAGCAAGACUACACAAAUCUCAGAGCAAUCCCGACAUGAACCAAGGAAGGACCAACAGAAGGAACAGGAACAAGCAAAUGUGGACCAAGUCAGCUAAGAUGGUCACUGCAGUUUAAGGAGGUCAAGAUCGUCGACUUAAGUCACCAUUCCUGACCCAGUCACCUAUCAGCUCCUAUUCGGAACCAUGCCCCUAAAACCGACAUACAUUCAGCUCCAGAUGGCAGAUCAGACAUUCCGAAAGGUUGAAGGUCAGGACAAGAAGAAGACGACGCAACCGCAACUAGAGGAGCCAAAUCAUCAAGGACGGAUGGGUAGACUAUGAAGCAGAAGUUGUAAGGUCUGAAGACAUACAGCUUAAACAAAACUGUCCUGAGGAGACCGUAGCACCGAGUCAGGUGUGUAGAGAGAAGAUAGUUAUACACGAAGAGGAGGCACCGCCGGAACCACCGACUACGCCACCCAGCGAAUCCCAGGACGACUGAGAAUAUGGAGAGUCCCGUUCGGAGGACUUAAAAACACCGAACGCCUUGCCAAGAGGUAAACUUGGUAGUUAUCUUUUUCCUUUCAAUUAUUUUAAAAUAGUUUGCUUAGUUAAUCAGGUUCAUAUCAUCUUGAAAAGAAAAUAAAAAUGUUGAAGAUAGUAAGCCCCAUGUGAGUAUGCUCAUGGCAUAAAACCCAUAAGUAUAUUCACUGUGGUGGCAUAAAAAUAAAAUAAAUAUAUUUCUGUCCUAUAAAAAUAAAAUUAUAAAAAUAAAAUUAUGAUCCUACUAAUGAGUAACAUUUAUUGAGGAGGCUCAACAUGAUAAAGGCUAGAUAUUUAUGCUAACACUUAACCAGUUCCACAAAGCUUUGUUGUCUAUUUAUUCAAGGAUCAAAGAAGACUAGCAGACGGAGGACAUCCUAAUCGCUGUCAGAGUGCUGCCGACAUUCAAAUACACCUUCGCCACCUGCUAGCUACAUCAGAAGAAAUUACGUCGAAAUCCAGCUUGGGGGAGAGCACCCCCAUUUAUCUAGAUAAGUGUUCUACUCACGUUUAUACUUUACUCUAAUAAUAAAAUGAUGCAUAAUCAUAAAAACCCAAAUAAAAAUUUUGUGCUUAUAUAUAUAUAUAUCUUUGCUUAGUUUGAUAAAUAAAUAAAUAAAUAAAUAAAGUUUGCUAUGAACCCUCAUGAUAAGCUCUCACAUGGAAAUGAUGACUAGUUGCUCUGCCAUGACUAGUUCUCAAAAUUGAAAUCUCUCUCAAGUUUAGGCAUGACUGUUAUAAAUUAAGAUUUGCUCUAAACCUAAACUUGUGGGAAGAGUACUUGAUCUGAAGUCUAAGUCGUUAACGGAUAUGAUAUGGGAAUGUUAAGCUGCUGUUUAUCUGUUCCUAGAGAUGCUAGAAUUCUGGAGAAUUUUAUCUUUGAAAAUCUUUAAAAUGUUGCAUGAUGAGUUCCUGUAUGAUGAGAGUUUAAAUUCCUACCACAGCCAUAUAUACAUACUUGCUAGACUUUGAGCCACACAUUUACUUUUUACUGCUUAUGAGCAUUGAGUGUGGUCAAGCUGUAUAGACCCUUAGGAGCUUGUCAUGUGGUUAAGUCAAGAUUCACUUGCACGUUCACUUAUACAUGCUGCUUCUACUCUGGAAGUACGCAUCCACAUACAUCAACCCAUUUCCAUCUCCAGAACCACCCAAAAAUAUUCUACUCCUAAUCCGGGAGAGAAUAGCCAAAAACAUUUCUGUUUUUCCCCUAUGAAAUAAAUGCUCAAGUUAUCUUGGUUACUACCACUUGCUAUAUUAUUUCAAAAGAUGAGUGCUCAUAAAAAAAAGAAAAAAAAAGAAAAAAAAAGAGAUACGAGGAAAUAAAAAGGGGCAAGUGCCCGAAACCUCGAAGAAAAGAAAAAGUGAGACGAGAGGUAAAAAUGGACAAGUGUCCGACAGUAGAAUUAGGGGUACAAGAUACCCACCUGAGAGAAAAGAAAAAGAAAAUAUAGAGCAUCUCAUUCUCCCAAAAAGUUUCAAAAGAGCAAGAAGGGUAUGUAUCCCCUCAAAAGAGCAAAAGUAGAAUUAGACUUUCACCAUUGUUAUCACCAUCAUUACCAUGCAUCAUUCAUUCGCCACACAUGCACAUCUUGAUUUGACUUAUUGACUUGUUCUUCUGGAUCCAUGGUUUGACUAUGCAAUAAAUGUCUUGUAAGUAUGUAUUAGCUGUCUCCCACCUAUGAGCUCCAGAUAUCAAAAGCCUUAUUAGAGUAGGGUGAGAGAGAAGGCAAUGCCACUAUGCCUUAUACCACAAAUACCACAUACUUUGAGAGAAGGCAUAUACCAAUACUGCCUUGGUAAGGAUCUAGAAAUACCACAAAAGAGAGACUAGAGAGAGUCAUACAAGGAAUCUCUGAGUUUUAUUUGAAAAUCUGCAAAAACUCCAGAGCUAUAGUUAAUCGAAGAACAAGAGACAUGGUGCUUGACUAGACUGUUCUAUCUUUUAACUACUCAAGACAGAAGUGACGGUUACAAGUCCCAUGGUGAAAGGUAAAUGAGUAAGUUUUAAGUCUUAACAGUUUACUCUAACCAGAGAUGAGAUCUUGUUUAUGUAUCUUUAAGUUAUGAAACCACUGCAGAAACUCUUGAGUUCAUCUUUGCUCAGGGACGAGCAAAGGUUAAGCUUGGGAGAGCUUAUUGACGGUCCUUAAUGCUCACAUUUAACCAUCAACUAAUCAUGGAAAAGGAUCUAAAUGCAACCAACACCCAGACUUAGGGUUUUAUCUGACAGAAUUCCACAAGUUUUGGUGUUUGUCUAUUUCUGCAGGGGGUUAUCAGGAAAUACGGAAGAAAGGCCCACACGUCGGGUUUACAUAGAGAUAUUAACGUGCUGCGCAAUUUUCUAUCAUCUAGAAGACUCCAGAAGCCACGGGACCGAACGGGAGACGUAACGGAGCCGGGCACUGGGCGCCCGCCCUCCCUUACUGGGCGCCCGCCCUCCCCCCUGGACCAAACAGAGUCCAAUUCGGGGACAAUGCUCCACCGACCUAAUACUUCAAGGAAAACCACACGAUCAAUGUCGGUUUGAUCCGACGGCCCAGAUUCACUUGAAGGGACUAUAAAACCAGACCCCCCUGGCCCCUGGAGAUCAUACCUCUUCUACAGAAUCAAAGUUAGGGUUUCAAUUCUUCAUCCAAGUAGAGAGGAUCCCUUUAGUUCUUCUAGUUCUACCUCUAGUUCAUCUAGAUCUAGUUCUAGUUCAUCUAGUUCUAGUUCUAGUUCCUCUAGUUCUAGUUCUAGUUAGUUCUAGUUGUAAUCUAGAAAAUAGGGAGAGAGAAGAGG